Small nuclear RNA from Leptonychotes weddellii (Weddell seal), 107 nucleotides. The record is from RefSeq and is a predicted model, not a curated record. NCBI's taxonomy places the organism in Eukaryota, Metazoa, Chordata, Mammalia, Carnivora, Phocidae.
GUGCUCACUCUGGCAGCACAUAGACUAAAAUUAGAAUGAUACAGAGAAGAUUAACAUGGCCCCUACACAAGGAUGACAUGCAAAUUCAUGAAGUGUUUCAUAUUUUU